UCGUUAUCGACUUCUGCCAUUGUUGAGCUCACAAGCAAUUACUGAAACGAGUGAUUAAUCUCAAGCGGUAGGCUCUAAUACCAUGUCAAAUUGUUACACUACAGUAAUAUAAAGUAUUUAGAAGAGAGCUUGAAUUGAAGGAGAGGAAAACUUGGAGAGAAAGAUUACUUCAUUCUCAUUUUCUUCAACUACAACAAAUGAGUUGCAUCACUGAUAUAUAUACAAGUUAGAGUUCUAUAUCACCAACUAACUCUAACUUUAAUACUAGCUCUAGUAAAAUUACUAACUCACUUGCUAAUCACCUAUCUAACUAACUCACUAACCGACUAAUGCCACAUCAUCACAUCAGCUUGCUACACUCUUAACAAUUACAUCAUGAAAAUAUCCUUGUCUUCUAAACGAGAAGUAACAGAAAAAAGAAUAACUAUAGAAAAAGGAAUUUUAACACAUAAUAUACCGAAGUAUCCUUAAAUUUUUGUGAUGUUUAACGGGUCAUUCUUCAUAUUAAAGCAUAUUACUAAAAAUAAAAUAUUUAAAACUAAAAUAUUUCAACAAUUCCAAAUUCCAAAUUUAAAAUAUGAUAGAAAUUUCCUUCAAUAAAGUUGUUGGAGUGCUAAUUUUUGGAGUCAAAACAUGUGAACAAAAGAACAUUUUUAAUUUUCAUGAUGACAAGAGAAUCCUUUCCAAGAAAAUAAACAAUCCACACACACCUACCGCCUUUGUUUUUAAAUAUUCUUCAUUUAACUUUACUAUUAUUAUAUAGAUUGGAAAAGCAUACCAAUUACUACAUCUCAGUCCCCUCAGCAGAGAAUCUCUCACUCUGCGAAAAAUGGCGGAGAAGAAGCGAUUGGUAACUGUUGCUGCUCUGCAGUUUGCCUGUACCGACGAUGUCGCUACCAACGUCGGCACUGCCGAGAGGUAUUUGUUGCUCUUUCUUUCAUAGCCCCUUUUGCAUAUAUGUAUUAAUUACUUAUAUGGCCAGUUUUGGUUAUCUUUUUCAAGUUCAGUAGAAAUACAAUUAGGAUUUCUAAAAAGUUGAAGACUUUUGUUGUGUCCUCAUAUGUCAAUCACAAUUAGAAUGUUUUUGUAAUCUAAGAGGUUAAUUUUGUAGCUCACUGGUAAGGGAAUUGGGAUUUGGUAUCAUUGAGCAAAUAUGUGUUCUUUAGAUUUGCAAAAGGGGAAUUAUUUUGAUGACAUUUAGGGGUCGUUUGGUUUAUAAACCAGUGGUGCAGGAAUUGUAAUGCUGAGAUUAUUUUGAAAAUCGGGCCUUUGGUUAUUUGUACUAAAAAUGGGAGUUAUACAGGGCGUUAAUGAUGGGUUUGAGGAAAAGACAUUAGGCUAAUUUUGUUUUUUAGUGUUUAAUCCUUAUAUUGUUAUACCAUGCUAUAGGCGGGUAAUAAUACACCAAUUGCUGUAGUAAAGUAUACUAAGAUUAGUUACGCAAGAUUCAAAAUACAACCAAACACCGGAUAAAGCAGUACCAAAUUUUAUACCAUGAUUUCAUCUUAUACAUCAAAACCAAACAGGUCCUUACAUAUUGUGGCUCUAAGAUUAUGGCUUUGAUACAGAUUGGUUAGAGCUGCUCAUCAGAAGGGUGCAAAUAUCAUCCUCAUACAGGUACAAGACUGCCCCAUUGUUGGAAUAUUUGGUUAUUACACGAGAACCCAUGUGUGAACAUGUUGUCAGCUUUUUUAUCCAUUGUUUCUUGUUCAAGUGCUGGAACUUUAUUCCCGAGCUGUUUGUUUUCCCUCGAAUUGUGUUAUUGCUUCCUUUACGUGGUAGUUUACACUGAGAUUGUUGAAAGUUAUAUUUAAAGGUUUGGUGGUCCUUAAUAGGUUAGAGAUGAGACCUUUGGCCUGUCUUAGGGCAUAGCUUAAUGGAAUGCUAGUCUGGUCAUACCUGUCAACAGCAUGUUAACUGAUACUAGGAGUUGCUUGGCCAGUUCUUAUGAGAGUUCCUGAUCGAAUGGUCCCUUAAGUUUGGGAGAAGAUUUAUUUCCAUAAAUAUAAUACAACUCUGAGCAUAUUUGAGAACUUUCGGUCUCCGUUAACAAACUCUGUAAAUGUGAUGGAAUGGUUGUUGUGCUUUGUUAUUUUAAACUAGAAGCAUCUUUCUUUAAUGUCUUGUUAAUUCUGCAAUUCAACAGUGGAUGCAGAAUUACAUGUACAAUCGAGAUAGUCAAUAUCAUUUCUAAGUCACAACUAGCCAAAUAGUAAAGUAUUUCAAAACAUUCUGCUCGUAAAGGUUAUAACCAGUCCAAUAAAAACAGCACCUAAAUAACCUUGGCUGCAGGACAGCUGUCUUUUUCCAGUAUAUUGAAACCAUUAUAAAAAUAACUAUACAUGAAAACAUUAAGAGAGUGAGAGAAAGAGAGAUAAGAGGAUAAAGAACAAUCUAUUGAAUAUCAGACCGUUAUACUAAUAUAAUAGGCAAGUGUUCAAAAAUUUAAGCGAAAAUAAGUAUGUGUCGUGAAUACUUAGCAUAAAGCAUGUGCUUGCACCAAAACCAGAUGAAGAAUCUUCACAUAAUAAAUAAGCUGAGGUAAGGGGCACGGAAAGGAAGAACCUGAUAAGUGAGUCAAUAGGGAUUACUAGAAAUCAAUAUGCAUGAUAUUCAGAAUUGAAGUUUCACUGAUCGAUUAAAGUAGUAUGAUGAUUCUCCUUACUCUUCCUGUAUUUUAUCCUCUUUCGGGCGUCCUUUCAACCAUUCUUUUCUCUGUGUAUAUAUAUUUCUUAUGCGUGUGUAAAAAUUCUGUCUCUUUCUCCGCUUGAUUUUUGUUUCAGUUGCUUAGUAUAACCAGUUCCUUCGCCUGCACCCAUUCUUUUAAGCAUUUAGAGCUUUAUUCAGUAAUAGUUCUGAAAAUUUCCUGAUAACUCCUAGAUCCCUCCUGACCUCUUUCAUAACUCCUGUGCUUCUUGGUCCAUACAUUGCAAGUGUGGAAACUUAACUUGAAUGCAGAGAGAGCAAGCACCAUUUAAUGGCCAGUAAGGAUGGAAAACAAUAGCGGGUCUUUAACAGAGUGCUGGGUCAUUUCAUACGACAAUUUUGUUCUGUUGUUACUGGCUCUUUUUCGUAGACAGGUGUGAGAAUGAGGGAUAAUUGCUGAAGCAGGGAGGUGGUUAUAGAAGGAACCAUGAGCAGCGUCGGACCAUUUUGUCACAUUUAAUGGAGCUUGUUAUCUGAUAGCAGAAGCACUCAGUUUUUUUAAAUUUAAGUAAGCGACCAACAAUUGCUAUCAAAGCAAGAAGUAUAGACUAUAGACUUGUAGGACAUGUCUCACAGCUACUAAACUUAAGGGGUUAGAUAUGCUCACGAUCAUAAUAUAAGGACAAAGAUAAACGUACCCCCAAACUUGUAGGACCAUUUGAGUUAAACUCGUCUUUGUAGUUUCCUCUUGUCUACUUUCUUGCUCAUGCUAAUGCGUAACAAAGUAGUUCAAAAAAUCUGUGCCACUUCUGUUCCAGAUUGGAGGCAUAUUCUGGAGACUUGGCUGGUACUUGGCUUGGUUUCAACUUGCUUCAAACAGCCUUGAAAUAGAAAUGUUCAUUUGGUUUAGCUGUUAGAUUCAAGAGAACAUGAUUGGGAAGUUAGCUAAAAUUAGAGCUGUUAAUAUGGGCGGGCCCGGCCCCGCCCACGUGGGCUUUAGCAAUUGACGGGCUGGGCUGAGCUAGUCCACCAUUUUGAUGGGCCUUAUAAUGGUCAGUGUGGCCGGCCCAUCAUUUUUAAAAAAUAUAGUUUUAUAUUUUUUCUUUAAGUUCUAACCUAAAAAAGAUAAAAUUUUAAAAGUUAACAAUCUUAUUGGAAAAAUUUCACAAAACUUAAUAACUUUUUAUACUGUUCCAAUAUAUCACAAUAAGCACUAAAAAAAGUACAAGACAAGACUAUAUUUCAUUCACUAAAAGUCAAAACUCAAAACAAACUAUUCAAGUGACCGUCCAUGACGCUUAUGGGAUAUCCAACACAUCAUCUUCAUCAAACACAUUUGAAUCUGCUUGUGAGAAGGUUGUCUUAACAUCUUCACUUUCAUUUACAUCUACAAUUCAUAUGCAAUAUUAAUUAGUUAAAUAUUAAGAAUAAUUAAAUUUUAAAAACUAAUUAACGUUUUAAGACGUUGAUCUUUUAAUACGAUGAGCUUAAUAAAUUUUAAGCUUGGGAUACUCUUCUUGUUAUUUUUAGUGUCAUAUACUUUUUAUAUUUAGUAUAUUUUAAAAACAUAUAUUUAUUAAGCCCACGGGCCGGCCCAGCCCAGCCCCAGUCAAGCCUCACAGGCCAUGAGCUUACUCGGGCUGGACUUAAAAGCCUCGUUUUUAAAUGGGCUCCAAAAAUUCUAGCCCAACCCUACUAAAUCACGGGCUGGGCUGGCCCAACGGUCCAAGCCUAUAUUGACGGCUCUAGCUAAAAUGAACGGAGAAGAAUAUUAAAACUGGUUAUAUAACAUAUUCGAGUCGGAGACAAUUGCAAAUAUUCCAGUAUCUUACAACAAUAACAAACCUAGUGUAAUCCCACAAGUGGGGUCUGGGGAGGAUAGUGUGUACGCAGACCUUAUCCCUAUAUUGUGGAGGUAGAGAGGCUGUUUCUGAUCGACCCUCGGCUCAGGAAAAGCAUAGUCACAGCAUAGUUGAAAAGUAUUCCAGUAUCCUCCGUUAAGUAAUUAGAUCUUACCAAAGUUUUGUCAAUAAUCUUCCCCAUUUAAGUUGGCCCAAGACUGUUCACUUCCAAAAUCUCAUCAUUACACAUCAAUGAGUGUUCGGAGUUAAACAAGAGUAGUAAAAAUGUAAAAUAUUAAAGUUUAACGGGGUUUUAAGAUAAAUAUAAGAGAAGCUGUGCCUGAAUCCUGAACAACUGUCCCCCCCCUCCCCACAAACACCCCGUACGGGUUUUAUUUUGGGGGGGGGGGGGGAGGGCAGUAUGAGCAGGCCUUGAGAAAAAAAAGAUUCGGUUUGGCCUGAGUGUGUCAGAAAGGUUCAGAUUUGGCUAAAACAUAUGAACUUAAGUGAACUGACUGAAAUUGAUGCCAGUUGAAGCUAUUGAAGUGAAUCAAACUUAUGCAGUGUUGGUUACUGUAAUUUCAGCAUAGUGUACUGUUUUUUCUUGAAUCUUUAGAGGGGGAGUCUAACUCUUCCAGUUAUAUAUUAUCAUUAUACUUUAGUAUAAGUAUCCUUGGGAGUGCGGCUAACAAAAAGAACAGGAUUUAUAGCCAAGGUGUUUACAAUGUUAUAUAGGUGUUGGUAACUAAUAAGUAAUAACUAUAGAAUGAGGUAAAAAGUUGUAUAUGAUUGUUUAAGUGUUAAUGAUUACCGUCCUAAGGAGUUGUCAGAUCAAUUUGAAUUGACCUAUCACUUUGACAAGUAAUCUUGUUUAGCUCAGCAUUUAGCAGUUGUGCUUAUUCUUGACACAAGUGAUUAAGCUAGACAGUCGAAUUGUAACUUCAUCUCAUGUAUUUUAUACAUACCAUGACUCAGAUUUUUGUUGAUCUUCAAAAAUUGCCAGUGUCCUUAAUACAUCAACAUUAAAAGAGAAUUGUUUUCUCUCAGUUUCGAGUUUCUAAUGAUAUUUUUAUAGAGUUAGGGUGAUACUCUUGAAGUUUGUAGUCCUAUGAACUUCGACUUUUUGAAAGUAUUUGGUAUUCAUCUGCAUGUCUGCAGUCCAGUAUUCAUUGAUACUUCCCUAUUUACAUCUCAGGAGUUGUUCGAGGGCUAUUACUUUUGUCAAGCUCAAAGGGAGGACUUCUUCCAUCGAGCAAAACCAUAUCAGGGGCAUCCAACCAUUGUGAGGUGAAAAUUCUGAUUACUUCUGGUGUCUUAUUGCUGGUUUCGUUAGCAUAUGUGUCAAGGUUCCAAUAACAACCUGGCUUGUUCUUUCUAUGUGCAUGUUUGUAGGAUGCAGAAGCUUGCGAAGGAGCUGGGAGUGGUUAUACCAGUUAGUUUCUUUGAAGAAGCAAAUAAUGCGCAUUACAAUUCUGUGGCUAUUAUUGAUGCUGAUGGCACAGAUCUUGGACUUUACAGGAAGUCCCAUAUUCCCGAUGGACCUGGUUAGUAAAACUUGGAAGAACAUUCCAAAAUCAUUGUGCUACUUGUCAUUAUUCUGUUAGAUUUCCUUCAAUCACUUUCUUCAAUACUCCUUUUUCAUCCCCUUAAGUUGUUUGUCUCUACAGGUUAUCAGGAAAAGUUUUACUUCAAUCCUGGUGACACUGGUUUUAAGGUAAGGAAUACUGAAGUCCUGUUACGAUAUUGCGAUAGUGAUAUUUUCCUGCUUUCCCCUUUGCUCAUGGACGUAAUGGUGUUCAUAAACAGGUGUUCCAGACUAAAUAUGCAAAAAUCGGAGUUGGUAAGAGAAUAUAUGUUGUCAUGGUUGUUCUUUAGGUUUCAUUGUGUUCUCUACCUUUGAUGAACAUUUGGAUACAUAGGAGAAAAAUAAAAGUUGUGCUGCUGUGGGCAAAAACCUUAAAUCUCCAAAAGUUACUUACAUACACUUCACUUUGUAAUUUUAAGAUUUUAUUAAAGAGGACAAAGAUACUCUUGUUGUAAAUACAGUGAAGACUGAAGAUACACUACCGAUAGUAUUGACUGUUAUUAAAUUCUGUCCAGCAAUUUGCUGGGAUCAGUGGUUUCCUGAGGCAGCUCGAGCUAUGGCACUUCAAGGUGCAGAAGUACUGUUCUAUCCUACUGCAAUUGGUUCUGAACCUCAAGAUGAUGGACUUGAUUCUCGUGAUCACUGGAGGAGGGUGAUGCAAGGACAUGCUGGAGCUAAUGUGGUACGUUUUAUUUUUCAUUUUUAACUUUUUUUUCGUUAAGAAUGAUAAGUAAAAGGGAUGUUUAUGUUGGCAUGAUCAGGAUAGCCUAGUUGCAAGGAUCCUCCACCUUCAAUCAUAAGAUUUUGGGGGUUUGAGUCACCAAGGGAGCAAAAGUGGGAAAAGGGUCACUAUUCGACUCCUGGGCAAUGGGUUAGGAUGGUGGGGUUUUAGCAUAACCUAAAAAAAAACAAGGAAAGUUGUGUCCCAAGCUAGAAUUUGGUCCAGCUAAAAUGUUAAUUAUGCAUCUUGAUCCUAGUUUAUUAAUUUUAUUAUACACCGAGCUGCUUUAGCUUAUUCUUUUCUUUUAAUCAUUCUUUUGCUCGGCUGAGCAACAUACCUGUGUUACAAUUGGGUAAAAAUGUCUGUAAGGGACAAGAAUUGAAGAGAUGUACAACAAAAAGUUUAUGCAAGAAAAAGGAAACACGGAGUCAUGCCCCUCUUAUAUAUUUGCUGGACAGAUUGGAAUAGCCAUCAAAAGUGCUUUUCCUCUCUUAACCAACCCCUUCUAUCGUAGCUCCUAUUUGAGCUUAAAACUGGACUAUUUCAGUAGUUCCCUGUGUGUUUUCUUGGUGUGGGUUUCUUCCUCAACUCUAGAGCUGACAUUAUAUGUACCUCAAUCUGGAUUCAUAUUCUAUUUGAUCUUACAAGAUACACACACACACACACACACACUCUGCUAAUCAAUUCUUCACGACAAGCAUAGCAUUUACUGUACGCUAUGUAUGCCAUUUUCCUAUGCAUUCUCUGUGUAGAAAAGGAAACUAACAAUUAUUUGCAACUUUUAGCAAAAGAAGAAUUUUGAUUUCUGUGGUUUUAAUACACCAAAAUAAAACCAAACUCGAAUUGUUGGUUCUCAACUCAUUUUACAAGACCAAAGCCAAGAAAAUGACUUUUAAAUUGUUGGUUUGGUUUGAAUCAAUUUGGUUCAGUCUUUUUUCUAGAAACACUUUGUCCACUUUAAUUUUUAUCGUGUUCAGGUACCUUUAGUAGCUUCAAACCGCAUUGGAAAGGAGACAAUUGAGACAGAGCAUGGGAAAAGCACGAUAACAUUCUACGGCUACUCUUUCAUUGCAGGUAAGCUAUUUGACAAAACUUUGUAGCUACAGAACUUGAAAAACAUCUAUCGCCUUAUGUUGCUAAGGGGCUCUGAAUCUGGUUUAAAAAUGAACAGGGCCCACUGGGGAGUUGGUAGCAGCUGCUGAUGAUAAAGAGGAAGCUGUUCUUAUAGCGCAGUUCGAUCUGGACAAAAUCAAGUCCAAAAGGCAGAGUUGGGGGGUAUUUCGUGAUCGACGCCCUGAUUUAUAUAAGGUUCUUUUGACAUUAGAUGGAAGCAACCCAGUCAAGUGAUUCAAGAUGGACCAAGUAUCGCCUAUUCUCCUGCCCUUUUUUUUGUCAAUCUUAUCAAUAAAAGAGUGAGGACUAAAAUAUAAUCUUGUACUCGAGUUCUGUUGUCAUGUAACUCGUUAUAUGGUGUGAUCUGUCACAUGCUACACUUUCUGCAAUGAAUGGCAGAGUUCGGGAGUUUGAAUCCCUUAAUGUGUAAUCAGUAGCAUCUAUGUGCAACUUUGAUGGUUUUUGUCACAUCCAAGUAGUGAACACAUUCAUCAUUGGGACCUUGAUUUGUAUUUGUUUACACUGGUGGAUGGCUGUUCUGGAAGAUCCCAUUUCCGAAAAAACCAUUUCCAGACAUAAACACUUGGAAUGUCAUUUNNNNNNNNNNNNNNNNNNNNNNNNNAAUCCAAGUCCCAAAAAAGGGCCAGAGUUGGGGGGGGUAUUUUUCCGUGAUCCGACCGCCCUGAUUUAUAUAAGGUUCUUUUGACAUUAGAUGGAAGCAACCCAGUCAAGUGAUUCAAGAUGGACCAAGUAUCGCCUAUUCUCCUGCCCUUUUUUUUUGUCAAUCUUAUCAAUAAAAGAGUGAGGACUAAAAUAUAAUCUUGUACUCGAGUUCUGUUGUCAUGUAACUCGUUAUAUGGUGUGAUCUGUCACAUGCUACACUUUCUGCAAUGAAUGGCAGAGUUCGGGAGUUUGAAUCCCUUAAUGUGUAAUCAGUAGCAUCUAUGUGCAACUUUGAUGGUUUUUGUCACAUCCAAGUAGUGAACACAUUCAUCAUUGGGACCUUGAUUUGUAUUUGUUUACACUGGUGGAUGGCUGUUCUGGAAGAUCCCAUUUCCGAAAACCAUUUCCAGACAUAAACACUUGGAAUGUCAAUUUCUCAAUAUAUCUCUGAAAGCAUUGGAGCUAUAU
RNAcentral lists this long non-coding RNA (9037 nucleotides) under Nicotiana tabacum (common tobacco). RNAcentral's name for it is "long non-coding RNA (NTAB_LNC008009)". Lineage: Eukaryota; Viridiplantae; Streptophyta; Magnoliopsida; Solanales; Solanaceae. The record is from RNAcentral.